GGCGGUAACCCUUCUGAGCUAAGUAAGGUAGGGGUUUGAAGGGCAUCUUAGUGCGAGAAUCUGCUUUCUGUCUACAAAGUGAAGUGGUUAAGGUGUGAUGAGUGUUUUUGCAAGCAUUUUUCAUUAACCCAACCACGUACACCUGAGACAAGGCCCAUCUACCAUGGUACAAGGGUUCUACACCUCUAAAUGAGCCCUUGUUGUUUUGUCUAUCACUCCUGAGCUA
RNAcentral lists this non-coding RNA (226 nucleotides) under Leucobryum glaucum. Lineage: Eukaryota; Viridiplantae; Streptophyta; Bryopsida; Dicranales; Leucobryaceae. The record is from RNAcentral.